UGUGACCUCCGGAUCGUUUGGAGAGUCGGGGGUGGGGCUCGGGGCGCUACGGACCGGACGUCGUCAGGUCUCCUGGCGGCUGUGUUUGGAGAGGUUUCAGGUUUACACUUCCGAAGAGAGAUGGCAGCGCUCGGUAUAGGCUCCCCUAUGGUGCAUCGGGGCACCCCAAGGCCUGACACCGAGAACACUUGCCAAGCAGCGAUGCCGAGCGCCUUCUCAUCCCUUGUCUUCCACGCUGUCUGAACGUAACUUCUCGACGAUGCUGGCCGAAGCCCACAUAAUCUAAAGUACCCCUCCCGGCUGUGCAGCUGCUGAGUCCCAACCUGGCUGCCCUCCAUGCCUGCUUAACCUCCUUUCUCCUCCAGGCAACUGUGAGCUUUGCCUGCCCUGGGUUUCCUCUUAAACUCUAAUAUAAAGUGUCCUCAAGCUUC
Nannospalax galili (Upper Galilee mountains blind mole rat) is the source of this 431-nucleotide long non-coding RNA. RefSeq lists it as uncharacterized. The transcript is spliced from 2 exons. NCBI's taxonomy places the organism in Eukaryota, Metazoa, Chordata, Mammalia, Rodentia, Spalacidae. The record is from RefSeq and is a predicted model, not a curated record.